GUGCCUCCUCAGGUGCUGACCUGUGAGGGAGGAAGGAGCUCGGGCUGCAGACCCUCCUGGGCCUCCGUGUCUCAGGCUGCGUAAGGACAUCAUCAUGAUCAUGACAGGGGAACAAACAAUGGCAGACUGUAUGCCAGUCGUAUCCUACCUGCCUCUCCCCGGAACGCAGAAAGUGCAAGGGAUGAAGCCCUCAGAGGCCCAGAGACCUCGCCAUCUCCUACUAUGCAGGCUGUGCUACACUGUGACCCCCCCACCUGUUACCUCUGCUGGGAGUACCAGGCUUUCAGGCUCCCGACUCAUCCUCCAAGGCACAACUUUCCUGACCGCUGCAAACAGACUCAAUCCCCCCUCAUCUGCCCCCACCCCUGGCCCGCCUCUAUUGCAUCACGUGGAGUUGCCUGUUUUCCUCCACACUGGAAACUUCCUGAGGGCAGGGCUUGGGCUCUGUUCUCCUCUGUAGCCACUAGGCUCAAGGACUCAACAAAUGUUUGCUGAACAAAUUAAUUUGUUUUCACUUAACGAGCUCAUUAGGGCUCUAGCUUCCUCCUAAUUACGAAGCAGGAAGUUUCCUUUUUUUCCAUAACGAUCCAUCUUUGGGGAAUGAUGGCAGAACUUCAACUUCGGCAAGAAGAAGGCAAUCAAACUAGACCCCUGGCACACGUUUGCAUUUGAAAGAAAGAAAACAUGCAGGCUCAGUGAGUAAUCGCUGGUGGAAGGUAAAAGACGUGGCAGCUUGCCGGAUGAUCAUCUGAUCCCGCCAGGACCCUUCACGGGCAUCGAUGGGCCGCUCUAAUCGCCAGCCUGCCCUCUCUGCCCGUUUCUGCAGGCACUGUCCUUGGGGUCUGUGAGAGCACAUGGGAAGCCUGGCUGUCUGUCCCUGCUGGGCCCUUGAUCAAGUGACAUCAACUGCUGCCCUGAGCGUGUAUUGGAGAGCUGAUCAGAGCUCGGUGUUCUGAAUCUUAAAAAGGCAAUCUCCGGGGCCUGUGACUGCAGAAGCAGAGCAUCCACCAAGGGCUCCACCUGUUGUUCCCAGGGCCCUGCUGGAAGUUACGUCAAGAUGGCCCUCUGCCUGCCCACCAGAGCUGCUCUGGGAGGGGAGGCACAGCUCAGCUGGGAUUGGCCCAGCCUUCAGAAGAGGGGCCUUUUCACCUCUUUCUUUAGAAGCGCUGCUCUGUGAGCCUGUAUCCUGACAGGCAGGUGGGCCCUCUCUCCCCACAAAGCCUCCUUUCUUUCUGGGCCGCCAUCUUGUUCUGGAGGGGCUGCCCAAAAGGCCUUGACUCCUUGGUGCUCAAGGACAUUACUGCUGAAGUGGUUGGGGCAUUAUGGUCAAUAAUGAAGCCAGCAAUGGAGGGAAAGAAAAGGGAAAAAAACCCCAACAGUCCUGUGGCUCUGAGCAACGCAGCCUGUUAGGGGUUGGAGGCUGUGCUCUGAGACAAAAUGCUGAGGCGGGAUAUUGUGUGGCAGGGAGCUUUUUUUUCCCUCUAAGAAAUCCAGCUCAUUUUCCCCCUCAUUAAUUGGCAGCAGAUGAAAAAAAAAAAAAAAAGCCAAAACAAAACCCAAACCAACGCCAAUAACCUGAAUGUGAGUGUUUCUGAAAGGGAAAAGCUGUUUCAAUUGUUAGAUGUCCAAGAAAACAUGAAUACACGCCGCCAGAGGAAAUGGUCACAAUU
Bos taurus (domestic cattle) is the source of this 1670-nucleotide long non-coding RNA. The record is from Ensembl. NCBI's taxonomy places the organism in Eukaryota, Metazoa, Chordata, Mammalia, Artiodactyla, Bovidae.